UCAUUUCCGUGGCCAUGUGUUCAUUUCCGCCCAGUGUGCCGAGAUUACUAUUGCUGCUGCUGCUGCGUUGCUUUUCACUGUUAGUGCGUGGCAGCAGUCUGUUCUACUCUCUUUCGUGCGUCCACAUCGCCGCGUACCGAGCUGUGCUUGUGCAUGUGUGCGUGUGUGUGUGUGUGUGUGUACACUUGCAACAUCGUUCCCUACAGCGAGCUAGUCGGAACCGAUAGAAAGGCGCAUCUAUAGCGAGCAGCAUCCUGCCGCUAUAGGCACAAAGAAAAAAGCGCUGCCAGUGUAAUGGGAUGCCCAUCGGCGUGCACACCAAUCAUCAAUCAAUCAUUUUCAAAAGCAAAAUGGAAGCGAAGUUCGAUUGUUUGCUGCAGUGUGGCGCAGACAUGACACACUCCACUGGUGGUUGUGCACACGGUGGUUGUUGCAGGUCUGUGUGAGGAUAGCAUGUUUUCGAUGAUGUUUCCGCGCUGCUGCCGAUGGCUGUUGGAGAAAAUGAAAAUGUUGUUUGAUUGAUUUUAUUGUAUUUUUAAAGUGUUGGGAAGCAAAUGGAGAAUGAUACGCCUUCGUUGGAGCCGCUAGUCGCUAAGGGUCAUCAGCUAUUCGGAAACAGGCCAGCUUUCGAUGCUCUGAUUGUUACCUAAUAUAGUCAAGCUGUUCUAGAACUGAGCUUUUCCGGAACUGGGCUCAUCCUACUACCAAAAACUGCAGCACAAUUUCCGCUUACGCCGUGUCUGAGUGCCGUCCUUUAAUCGUGCACGCUUCCGACCGAAGCUGCUUCCAUUUUUGAAGCCUUGCACUAAUAUAUUUGUUGGAAAAGACAGUUUUAGCUUUCAACUGGAUUGAACUCAAGUCUGUAAAGCUUCAAUCGUUCAGGAAUGCCGUAAGGAGAGUUUGCUCUAUUUCAUCAGCUCAUCUGAAUGGACUGAACUCCACAAAAUUUGCAUGAUUUUAUUUUGAGUGGCUCUUUAUAAGUUGUUCACUUUUUUACUCAUUUAUAUAGAUCGUUGCUUAAUUAUUUUAU
Anopheles arabiensis is the source of this 1030-nucleotide long non-coding RNA. RefSeq lists it as uncharacterized. Lineage: Eukaryota; Metazoa; Arthropoda; Insecta; Diptera; Culicidae. The record is from RefSeq and is a predicted model, not a curated record. The transcript is spliced from 4 exons.